UUUAGAGUUGUGUCGCAGUGCGGGCACAGCUGACCUCCUGACCAUCCAGGCCCACCUGGACAUAAUCCACACAUUGACAGAAAAAUCUUUACACAAAGAGAGUCAUGGUGAUGAAUUGGAGGCUGCAGAUUCUAACUUUGUGGAGCUAGUCCAAACACUGCUGGGAGACCCUUCUGAGAGGGAGCAUUUCUUCCAGGAGGUGUUCUCAGUCCACUAUGGCCCUCGGUAUGACACAGCACUGCAGACACUGGUGUGGGAGUUCCUCUCCAGACUGGAAGAGCUGCUGCCUGUAC
Oncorhynchus nerka (sockeye salmon) is the source of this 293-nucleotide long non-coding RNA. RefSeq lists it as uncharacterized. NCBI's taxonomy places the organism in Eukaryota, Metazoa, Chordata, Actinopteri, Salmoniformes, Salmonidae. The transcript is spliced from 3 exons. The record is from RefSeq and is a predicted model, not a curated record.